This 420-nucleotide long non-coding RNA is filed under the name Malus domestica (apple). RNAcentral describes it as "long non-coding RNA (MDOM_LNC006165)". Lineage: Eukaryota; Viridiplantae; Streptophyta; Magnoliopsida; Rosales; Rosaceae. The record is from RNAcentral.
UUGGGAUUUUCUUGAGGCGUAGAAGCAUGCGAUUCUAUCAGGGGUUUGUGUUAAGCGAGUAAAAGAUGAUAGCGGUCAUGAACCAUGCGGAGAGGGUGCCUUUGCUAGGAAGAGAGCUAUCAAAUUUCAUCUGUACUACUUUAUGUUGGGAUUUACUUUUCCUAUGCUACGUCUUUUCCAGAAGGUGAUAUGCUCCAUGAUAUACGCGCCUACUUAAUGCUCCCUAAAUGCAGUUCGUGCAAUGAUGGGAUUCUCGAACUUGAGCAAGUUCUUCGAUCUUGGCUUGACCAUAAAUGAGUUUUGGUACUUUUUUUAGAUUGGCCACAAGGAAGGUGUGGGACGGCUUAGAUCUCGCCAUAGACUGCUCGAUGCUUUUAGCAAAAGUGAUCAUAAGUGGGCGAAAGAUACCUUGGAGGUGAG